RNAcentral lists this long non-coding RNA (428 nucleotides) under Capsicum annuum. Its description in RNAcentral is "long non-coding RNA (CANN_LNC019755)". The record is from RNAcentral. Lineage: Eukaryota; Viridiplantae; Streptophyta; Magnoliopsida; Solanales; Solanaceae.
GUUGAAAAAUUUGUAGGUCUUUAUCUACGUCUAUUAUUUCAUUGAGUUCUUGAUUUUGUUCUGCAUUAGGUUGUCUUCGACAUAUUCUAGCUAAUAUAUUGUUAUUUCCUAUUCUAUUUUCUGAAAAACUCACUCUUUGUCUUUCUUCUCCUUGUCCGGUAUUAUUUUCGAAGGCUCUCCGUCGAUUUGAUAGAAAGUCCAUUUUUGCGGUUUUCGUAUUAUAUUUUUUCGUUCUUGUUUAGGAGUUAAUUCGAUUCUUUUUAAUUGGUUAACUAGUUCGUCUAUUUCUAGGUUAUUUUUUGGUUGGGUUUCUUUAUUUAUUAAGAUGUCUAUUUUCUUGUGUAGCUCGGGUAACUCUGGCUCUUUGUGGAGCAGUUUUUGAGUUUCUUUGCCUUUUAUUAAGAUAUCUAUCUUUUUGUGUAAAUCUA